Oreochromis aureus is the source of this 305-nucleotide long non-coding RNA. The record is from Ensembl. NCBI's taxonomy places the organism in Eukaryota, Metazoa, Chordata, Actinopteri, Cichliformes, Cichlidae.
AGAAAGAGAAGAAAGUCAAAAAUUUAAGACCAAGUUGCUUCCCUAAAAUCAGUUUGAGAAACAGCAUCAGGCAUCUCACCUCGAGGCAGUGGAUAGCAGAAAAACACUGAGGGCAUGGGAACGUUGCAGUUAAAGAUGCUGAAGCUUUUGUUUUUAUUGACCUUCACUGGGAUAUGCUUGGCUCAAAAUGACAUCAGGUUGUCAGUGUUCACGGUGACAUCAAAGAGCAUGACAGUGCAGUGGAGCGGCCACACUGGUGCCAGCUCCUACAAGAUCACAGCAACCCCCAAGAACUCCCCGGAAAG